UACAGAGGUCCCGAGCGUUGUUCGGAUUCACUGGGCGUAAAGGGUGCGCAGGUGGGUUUGCAAGUUUGGUGUGAAAGCCCCGGGCUUAACCCGGGAAUGGCAUUGAAUACUGCAGAUCUGGAGGAUUGGAGGGGGGACUGGAAUUCUUGGUGUAGCAGUGAAAUGCGUAGAUAUCAAGAGGAACACCAGUGGCGAAGGCGAGUCCCUGGACAAUACCUGACACUGAGGCACGAAAGCCAAGGGAGCAAACAGG
Molecule: ribosomal RNA, 253 nt
Filed under: uncultured bacterium
Lineage: Bacteria
Description: partial 16S ribosomal RNA
Rfam family: Bacterial small subunit ribosomal RNA
Source: RNAcentral